RNAcentral lists this long non-coding RNA (819 nucleotides) under Scleropages formosus (Asian bonytongue). RNAcentral describes it as "lncRNA (ENSSFOG00015028772.1)". The record is from RNAcentral. Lineage: Eukaryota; Metazoa; Chordata; Actinopteri; Osteoglossiformes; Osteoglossidae.
AUGAAACCAGUGGUCAGUGUCAAUACUGUCAGUGAUGACAGGACUGUCACUGUGCCCUGUCAGAUCAACAGGUCUAUGGAGAAGAAAGUCACAUGUUACCUGUACACUGGAGACACACCUGAGCCCUUCAAUUCAACAUGGACUAGAUCAACAAAGCCUAAAUCAACAGUGUGUAAUUUUUACAUAAAGUCUGAUGAUCUCGAGAGGCGUUUCCAGUCUGUGGGCAGCAGGAAUGUGAGCUGUGAUUACAGUGUGGAAACAGACACAGAGCGUCGCUCUGCACGCAGUGACAGCUAUUCUGUACCAGCUUCAUCCCCAGGAGUUUCUACAACAAGAAGUCCAGUGAUUUCUAGUACCACAGUGCUUCCACAGUCAAUCACAUAUGAGCAACAGAACACAACUUCCAGGAGCACAGCGAAAAUCACAGAUAAGAAACAGAUGACAACUUCCAGGAGCACAAAGAAAAAUAAGAAACAGAGGACAACUCCCAGGAGCACAAAGAAAAUCACAGAUAAGAAACAUAUGACAACUUCCAGGAGCGCAAAGAAAAAUAAGAAACAGAGGACAACUCCCAGGAGCACAACGAAAAUCACUGAUAAGAGCACAACAACUGCCAGGAGCACAGAGAAAAAUAAGAAACAGAGGACAACUUCCAGGAGCACAACGAAAAUCACCGAUAAGAACACAACAGCUACCAGGAGCACAGAGAAAAGUGCAAGUGUGAUUAUCAGUGUAGCAGUCACAAUGAUUGUGUUUCUGCUGGGACUAACAACGGCCUGUCUAUGGAGAAUACACAAAAAUAAGAAAUCCAAAAGGUAA